GGAUGUAGCUCAGUUGGUCAGAGCAUCGGAUUGUGGUUCCGAGGGUCGCGAGUUCAAGUCUCGUCUUC
RNAcentral lists this transfer RNA (68 nucleotides) under human gut metagenome. It matches the Rfam family "tRNA". Rfam says of the family: Transfer RNA (tRNA) molecules are approximately 80 nucleotides in length. Their secondary structure includes four short double-helical elements and three loops (D, anti-codon, and T loops). RNAcentral also lists the same sequence under 1 other name. The record is from RNAcentral.